UUAAAUUGAAGAGUUUGAUCAUGGCUCAGAUUGAACGCUGGCGGCAGGCCUAACACAUGCAAGUCGAACGGUAACAGGAAGCAGCUUGCUGCUUCGCUGACGAGUGGCGGACGGGUGAGUAAUGUCUGGGAAACUGCCUGAUGGAGGGGGAUAACUACUGGAAACGGUG
Molecule: ribosomal RNA, 169 nt
Filed under: Salmonella enterica subsp. enterica serovar Typhimurium
Lineage: Bacteria; Pseudomonadati; Pseudomonadota; Gammaproteobacteria; Enterobacterales; Enterobacteriaceae
Description: partial 16S ribosomal RNA
Rfam family: Bacterial small subunit ribosomal RNA
Source: RNAcentral